UGGGGAAUAUUGCACAAUGGGGGAAACCCUGAUGCAGCGACGCCGCGUGAAGGAAGAAGUAUCUCGGUAUGUAAACUUCUAUCAGCAGGGAAGAUAGUGACGGUACCUGACUAAGAAAGUCACGGCUAACUACGUGCC
This 138-nucleotide ribosomal RNA is filed under the name uncultured bacterium. RNAcentral's name for it is "partial 16S ribosomal RNA". It matches the Rfam family "Bacterial small subunit ribosomal RNA", at positions 355 to 509 of the family's 1533-position model. The record is from RNAcentral.